UGUUCGGGGAUCUGCCUGAUGGAGGGGGAUAACUACUGGAAACGGUAGCUAAUACCGCAUAAUGUCGCAAGACCAAAGUGGGGGACCUUCGGGCCUCAUGCCAUCAGAUGUGCCCAGAUGGGAUUAGCUAGUAGGUGGGGUAACGGCUCACCUAGGCGACGAUCCCUAGCUGGUCUGAGAGGAUGACCAGCCACACUGGAACUGAGACACGGUCCAGACUCCUACGGGAGGCAGCAGUGGGGAAUAUUGCACAAUGGGCGCAAGCCUGAUGCAGCCAUGCCGCGUGUGUGAAGAAGGCCUUCGGGUUGUAAAGCACUUUCAGCGGGGAGGAAGGCGUUAAGGUUAAUAACCUUGUCGAUUGACGUUACCCGCAGAAGAAGCACCGGCUAACUCCGUGCCAGCAGCCGCGGUAAUACGGAGGGUGCAAGCGUUAAUCGGAAUUACUGGGCGUAAAGCGCACGCAGGCGGUCUGUCAAGUCGGAUGUGAAAUCCCCGGGCUCAACCUGGGAACUGCAUUCGAAACUGGCAGGCUAGAGUCUUGUAGAGGGGGG
This 551-nucleotide ribosomal RNA is filed under the name Klebsiella pneumoniae. RNAcentral describes it as "bacterial SSU rRNA". It matches the Rfam family "Bacterial small subunit ribosomal RNA", at positions 114 to 661 of the family's 1533-position model. Lineage: Bacteria; Pseudomonadati; Pseudomonadota; Gammaproteobacteria; Enterobacterales; Enterobacteriaceae. The record is from RNAcentral.